UCAUGAUGUGCUGUUAUAAAAAAGAAUACACUUUGUAAGUAAGAGUCACUUCACAUCAUCACCGGUGAUUACUUUCAUAUAAUAGCACAACAGAAUAAUAUCAAAUAUAUCAAAUGUGGUCUUGUGUUUGUGUUUUUACCUUACAGUUCUGACAACACUCUCCUUCUGCACACUUUGAGCCCUUUGUGAGUUUGCACGUGGUGGCAUUGCAGCACGGGUCCACAGUCACAGUCUUCUCCAAUCUCUCGGAAGCCGUUGCCGCAAACUGCAGGCUGGAGCAGGUCUUUGGCUUGCGGUUUAUUGAGGAGACACUCAGGGCUCCGUGUGUUCAGGAACCGCUCGUAAUUGGCCAAGCUGCAAUUGCUGAAGAGCUGUGGGAUGUUGUAGCUACAAAAACAAACAGAGCUCAAAAAAUGCUGCUGGUAUCACAUCCGGAUUGAAAGGGCUUUGUGAAUACAGCUAGUAGAAGAUUCUGUGCACAGGGUGCCGACGAACGCCAGGCCCACUGUCGCCCCAUCAAAGUCGAUUUCACUGAAGUAACGACAGAAACCAAGUAAUAUGCUUUUUUCAUUCAACGUCAUUUGUGUAAUUUAUUUCUUUUUCACACUCACGUGAUCAGAUGAGCGUUGUCGUGCUUAAUCCGCUUUACCAGAUCUUCAUUUCUCCACUUUGUAAAAGCACCCAGAGUGUCACUAGAAGGUGUAGUCACCGCAAUCUUAUCACUAUCAGUCCAAACCUCCAGACCAAUCAGAGCGAUGAAAGUGUUCAGCGGUUUAUAGACCUGUCACAAAACAAAGAACAGUAAAAUACAUAAUAAAAACAAAUAAAGUAAAUCUUCCAACAAAAUCUUUCCAGUAGUUAACUUAAAUCCAAACAUAACUUGAAUCUGAUUGGUCAGAUUAGCGAAUGAUUUCUUGACAGUGAACUCUUGGAAUAACUUCUUAGAAGAUGCACCCUUUAUGAUUAAAUCAGUUUUAUCGAAUUUACUUAAACAUGAAGUCAGAGACUCACAACAUUAACAAAGUUGAGAAUAUCGAAGAUCUUCUGUCUCACUUUGGUGAUGUUCCUGUCCAGCUUCAAAUACUGUGUGAGAGCAAAUCAAACAUCUGGUCAGUCAGAGACAAAAUUACAGCAUUAAAAAAAGAUCUGUUUCUUUGUAUUUACUUGUGAAUGAUAUGUUUAUUUAGUAUACUAAAUAUCUUGCUACUAUAUGUACAGUAUAUGUUACUAAUACUAACCUAGUAAAUGUUAUUUAAUCCAAAAUUAUGGCUUAUACUGUGUGUGGAGUAAGAUUGUGUUGUUUGUGUUUGUGUACAUUAUUGUUUAGUUUUGUUUCUAUAGUCAGUCCUGCCUCUGUACUGUCAUUGGUGGGUUAUCCCAUUGUGUCCACCUGUUCUGUGUUUGACCCUUGACUGGUUUAUCUAUGAAUUCUCUGCUGUAGCUUUGCCACAUCAUGAAGUCUUGCCAGCAUUAAAUCCAAUUAUUUUUAUCCA
This is a long non-coding RNA of Tachysurus fulvidraco (yellow catfish), 1493 nucleotides long. RefSeq lists it as uncharacterized. The record is from RefSeq and is a predicted model, not a curated record. NCBI's taxonomy places the organism in Eukaryota, Metazoa, Chordata, Actinopteri, Siluriformes, Bagridae. The transcript is spliced from 4 exons.